AUGUGUGCAAGCAUGUAUAAUAUCAGCAGUUGCAAAACUAUCCAGGCAGAAGGAGGUGAUGGAGUGACCUGAAAGAAGCACUGAACCAUUUGUUAAUUGGGCGCCAGGGAGACUCUUAAAAGGGUACAUGAUUUGAGUGAGUCUCAUUGAGGUGGACUGAUGGAGAAGUGAUGGUUGACUUAAAAUAAACCGGGAAAGAAUGGAACCACAUGUUCUGAACAUGCCCAAGAAGCAUCAUUGUAAAGACUGCUGCGUGAUUUGAUUAGAUCAGAUGUUUCAUGACAAUGAUGGGGGACUUGGACAUUCUUUGCAAUUCUUUCCUGCCAAGUUGGCUUAGACGUCUUCUGGUACUCCCAAGGUUCAAGAAUUCUGUUUGUUGCCUGGCCUGAUGCACGAGAGCAACUGAUACUUCGAAGAAAUCAUUUUAAUUCAGUAGUAUUGAUGCAUAAUUAAUAUAUGUAUUGAACUAUAACAACAUUAAGCAAUUGGAGUCCUUCGUAGUGGCACAGGCUGAAUUUCUUUUCUCCCUUCCCAAGGGACAGAGAGCAGAUUCUGUGCUGCCAAGGAGCUUAAGAAUUGGGACUGUUUUUGUCAGGCAUUACUGUAUUUUAGAGAUUGCAUUAGCUGGGGUGGGGCUGUAGCUUGGUAGGAAAGGGAUGGCUUUUGUGUGUGUAUAACAUUCUAGGUUCUUAGCAUCUCCAGUUAAAAAGAAUCUGCUAGCAAAAAACUACCUGCAGCCACACUAAUUUGCCAGAUAAUCUGAUGAUGUAUUCUACGGACCAGCAGCAUGGCUAUGUAAGGCAGUCACACAUCUGUUCACUUAAUUUAUAAAUUGCACCCUCCGCCUGCCAGGCAACUUGGGCUCUGUCCGACAAAAAUAUUGUUAAACUUACUAGUAAACCCAAGAGUAAAGAUCAUACAAUAAAAUCUGAGAACUGCA
This is a long non-coding RNA of Elgaria multicarinata webbii, 940 nucleotides long. RefSeq lists it as uncharacterized. The record is from RefSeq and is a predicted model, not a curated record. Lineage: Eukaryota; Metazoa; Chordata; Lepidosauria; Squamata; Anguidae. The transcript is spliced from 4 exons.